Molecule: long non-coding RNA, 586 nt
Organism: Hyla sarda
Lineage: Eukaryota; Metazoa; Chordata; Amphibia; Anura; Hylidae
Exons: 3
Source: RefSeq, a predicted model, not a curated record
CGAGCACCAGGUGAAGCAGGAAGAUCAAAGGGGUCCCCAGCGGCAGGACCCCCCACGAUCAGACAUCUUAUCCCCUAUCCUUUGGAGAGUACCCCUUUAAGUAUGGCAUCCAUGACUGUACAUUUAAGCUGACCAUAAGACAGAUGUUGUUCUCUCCCCAGUCGAGAAUGCAUCUUUAUUUUGAUGGGAAAAGGGAGACAAGUCAUUGCCACUGACAACUCUUUAUGUGCCGGUAUAAGAAAGGAUCAGGCAUGUAACAGUACAUAGAGACCAGGAAGCUAAUUUUGGACUGAAAAUGCUCUGAUAGUAAAAGGCUGAUGACAUCAGAGAUUACCAGGUGACAAUGUGAGGUACAAGACCACAAAGGAUGUUUACAGGGACAUUGGCAUGAACAGCACAUCUAUGAUGAAAUCCUACAAGACACUUCAGGCAGAGACCAGACCAAACACUUUUUUAUAUUUUCACAGAUGUGGCUGGAUUAUAGAAGAAAUUGCUACCAUUAAGCCGGGAAGAAGGCCGAGCCCGUUACAUGACACUGCCGUUCGGUGUAUCAAUGGCCAAGGUGGGAUAUUACUGCCCCCCGGCG